ACCAAGAAACCAAGAAACUGAAAAUGAGGGGAUGGGCCUGGGAUAAGUGUAGAUAGUGAAGUGAAUGGGCCUCGGGCCCAAAUCUUCCACACCACCAACGAUCCAAACUCCCCAAGCUUAGUUCAAGCAAGAAGGCAAAUUCUCCCUGAAGUGUACGAUUCAAACCGGUAGCCGCCGUCGACCGAAAUGACAUACACCAAGAAGAUAAUGGAAACGCGACUCACCACUAGUGCAUCUCCGACUUCUUACGAAGAAUCAGGGAGACGAUUAGAGCAAGCGUCCACAGUCAAUGUCAAAAACCGAAAGCUAAACCAAGAAAUUCGCCUAAAAUAGAAGCGAUUGAAGGGCGGAAUCGUACCGAAUUCGUGAUUUAUAUGGAGAUGGAAAUGAAUACGAGUUCCCACACGUUCGCCUCGAUUGAUUGAGAUGAAGAGAGCAAAGUUUUUGUUGAUGUGCGAGGAAGAGUCUGAAUCCAUUCGAAACAUUGUCGCGUUGAAGGAUGAUGAAUCCGUUUGAACCGAUCGUUGUGUGGCGAUGAAGGUUGAAGGCGGAAUUACGCAACAAAUCGGAGAUGGAUCCUUCUCCAAGAUCGGUGUGUCGCUCGCGUUCUAAUCUCCUUCACUUUAUGCUUUCUUCUUCUCCUUCUGUUACUAUCUGUUUUCUUCUUCCAUUCUGUUUUGGGAUUUUGUUCGUAUUUUUCUGUUGCCGUUUACGCUUUUUGUUCGAAUCUUGUUCUUCCGCUAUAUUCUAUUUCUCCUCUUCUUUGAUAAGUUCUGAAUUGGCUUGUUGAGUUUUUGUUCUUGGAUGAGGUUUUUUAUCUCUGUUAAGUCAUUGUAUGGCACGUUUUGUUGUUUUUCAUUGUGAAUUCUGUUAGAUGAUUGAAGAGUGAUAUUGGAUUGAAGGUGAUGAAGAAUGGAAUGUGAUGAAGUGGAGUGGGAUGGUGGAGCGGUUCUGCAGAAAAUGGAGAUCGUAGUGUGAAGGGUGAAGAUAUCUGAGGAUUGAAGUGAAAAGUUGAGGUUGAAGCGAUGUUGACGGUGGCUGAAGAAUUGAGGUUGAAGGAGACGAAGGGAGAAUGAAAUGGUUUUGUUAACGGUGAAGCAGUUGAAGCCGGUGGAAAAGAAUGGAAUGAAAAAUUUGUAUGAUGAAACUCAGAUCCCCCCUCGCCUCUGAAGUGUGAAUGAAUAUAUAUAGUGAUGAGAGAGUCUAUGAUUCCGUUAGAAACUGAAUCCAAAUUCGGUUAGCAUUUUCAGUUAGAGAUGAGCGCGUUUGGAUUGGCUUUCAUGGCUUGCACUUAUGACCAGAAGCUUUGGGAUUGCGUUUCUCUAGCUGCACUUUUUGUGUUGUUUUGGUGCAUGGAUUCAGUGUAAGUUGCAGCUUAUGGUUGACGUUGCAGCUUAUGGUUGACGGUGCCGUAACAGCUUCCCCUGUUGGCUUUGUGUAGCGUUUUAUUUGGCAGUGGGGUUUUUGGAAAUAGCUUGUUGCCUUGCGUUUGUAGCUGCGUUGUGCAGCUGAUGUGUAGAAUUGAGUUUUGUCGUCGUUUCCAGAUGGUGUGUUUCAGCUUUGUAUGGCUUAGAUGACAGAUUUUUAGCUCUUUCACGUUUAGUUGUAGUCUGCAGUUCGUACUGCGUUUUCUGUUGUUGAUGGCAGCCUUUUUCAUUUGGCUUGUAUGGACUUAUUGGAUAAAGAUUUGGACAUGUGGAUAUGCAAAUGGACUUAGUGAAUUGGAUUAA
Molecule: long non-coding RNA, 1730 nt
Organism: Lathyrus oleraceus (garden pea)
Lineage: Eukaryota; Viridiplantae; Streptophyta; Magnoliopsida; Fabales; Fabaceae
Exons: 2
Source: RefSeq, a predicted model, not a curated record